RNAcentral lists this transfer RNA (87 nucleotides) under Flavobacteriaceae bacterium. Its description in RNAcentral is "tRNA-OTHER". Lineage: Bacteria; Pseudomonadati; Bacteroidota; Flavobacteriia; Flavobacteriales; Flavobacteriaceae. The record is from RNAcentral.
AGCGGAAAAUGGCAUAAAAGGGAUGUUUUUCGGGUUGUUUUAGAACUCAUAACCCGAAGGUCACUGGUUCGAGUCCAGUUCCCGCUA